Molecule: long non-coding RNA, 203 nt
Organism: Centrocercus urophasianus (Greater sage-grouse)
Lineage: Eukaryota; Metazoa; Chordata; Aves; Galliformes; Phasianidae
Exons: 3
Source: RefSeq, a predicted model, not a curated record
AGCGGCCCCUUCAAAACUGAGCUGUGUUCCCUGAGCUGUGCCCUGCUGCCAAGCCAGCCCCACACCGCUGCCUCUGCCUGAUCCAGGCUGUCAGAUGAAGGUUCUCCCGACCUCCAGAAAGCAUCGCAGAGCAGCGGGGGAAGGGGCUGGAGCUGACAGGCUGCAGACCUGCCUGGUAGCCAUGUAAAAUCCCCCGAGAGACG